UACGAAGGGGGCUAGCGUUGCUCGGAAUCACUGGGCGUAAAGGGUGCGUAGGCGGGGCUUUAAGUCAGGGGUGAAAUCCUGGAGCUCAACUCCAGAACUGCCUUUGAUACUGAAGGUCUUGAGUUCGGGAGAGGUGAGUGGAACUGCGAGUGUAGAGGUGAAAUUCGUAGAUAUUCGCAAGAACACCAGUGGCGAAGGCGGCUCACUGGCCCGAUACUGACGCUGAGGCACGAAAGCGUGGGGAGCAAACAGG
Molecule: ribosomal RNA, 253 nt
Filed under: uncultured bacterium
Lineage: Bacteria
Description: partial 16S ribosomal RNA
Rfam family: Bacterial small subunit ribosomal RNA
Source: RNAcentral